GGCCUCCUGGUACCUACCACAGGCUGUGUUCUUGUGCUGACUGUAUAGAAAGAGGAGGCAAAGCAAACCUAUCCUAAAUACACCUCAGCCCAGACCCUGUGCCUGGUUAUUGUAAAUGGAGAGACCUGG
RNAcentral lists this small nucleolar RNA (129 nucleotides) under Castor canadensis (American beaver). RNAcentral describes it as "Small nucleolar RNA SNORA51 (ENSCCNG00000010858.1)". It matches the Rfam family "Small nucleolar RNA SNORA51". Rfam says of the family: ACA51 is a member of the H/ACA class of snoRNA that guide the sites of modification of uridines to pseudouridines. Lineage: Eukaryota; Metazoa; Chordata; Mammalia; Rodentia; Castoridae. The record is from Rfam by way of RNAcentral.